GCGAUGCGUUGAGCUAACCUGUAAGAAUGAACCGAGAGGCUUAACCUUACAACGCCGAAG
Molecule: ribosomal RNA, 60 nt
Filed under: Salmonella enterica subsp. enterica serovar Schwarzengrund
Lineage: Bacteria; Pseudomonadati; Pseudomonadota; Gammaproteobacteria; Enterobacterales; Enterobacteriaceae
Description: partial 23S ribosomal RNA
Source: RNAcentral